This is a long non-coding RNA of Ochotona curzoniae (black-lipped pika), 564 nucleotides long. RefSeq lists it as uncharacterized. NCBI's taxonomy places the organism in Eukaryota, Metazoa, Chordata, Mammalia, Lagomorpha, Ochotonidae. The transcript is spliced from 3 exons. The record is from RefSeq and is a predicted model, not a curated record.
UUACAGUUUCAAAUUGUGGCAGUAAUCAGUCUACAAUGCAGUAAAUGAUCUCAUCAAAGUAUAACUAUCCAUACUCAGAAUACAUACUACCCAAGGAGUUGCAUGUAUGACCACACUCUGUGAUCAGGAAAUUGGUGCUCUUGCUGAUGUAAAAGGGGAAAAAGGAUUGCCUACAAUUCAGAGGCUCUCAAAACACCUUUCAAAAAUCAGCUAUGUUGUUUUGUGGUACCUGAUGAGGUCCCUACCCAUGAUAUUUCAACAUUUCUUCAAUCCAAAGACAACUUUGAAGUCACCAUUGUGUGUUAUUGUAAGCAUGCUUUCUAUCAACAAUCCACUUUCAAGAUACCAACAUUGAAAGAGAAUCAGGAGGUAGUGGGAUGCUGUAUUUUGUAACCUGAGGAACAGAAUACUAUUUAGGACAUGAGAUUCGGGGCAUACAUUCUGAUGGGCAAAUUUAUAGUGUGAAAAUUCAAAGUAAUUGGGUCCAGCACGAUGGUGGCGCAAGUGGUUAAGGUCCUUACCUUGCAAGCCCGGGAUCCCAUAUGGGCGCCGGUUCUAAUCCCG